Molecule: ribosomal RNA, 458 nt
Filed under: uncultured bacterium
Lineage: Bacteria
Description: partial 16S ribosomal RNA
Rfam family: Bacterial small subunit ribosomal RNA
Source: RNAcentral
CCUACGGGUGGCAGCAGUGAGGAAUAUUGGUCAAUGGGCGAGAGCCUGAACCAGCCAAGUCGCGUGAGGGAGUACUGCCCUAUGGGUUGUAAACCUCUUUUGUCGGGGAGCAAAAGCCGGACGUGUCCGGCUGUGAGAGUACCCGAAGAAAAAGCAUCGGCUAACUCCGUGCCAGCAGCCGCGGUAAUACGGAGGAUGCGAGCGUUAUCCGGAUUUAUUGGGUUUAAAGGGUGCGCAGGCGGAUUUUUAAGUCAGCGGUAAAAUCGUGGGGCUCAACCCCAUCCAGCCGUUGAAACUGGGGAUCUAGAGUGUGGGAGAGGUAUGCGGAAUGCGUGGUGUAGCGGUGAAAUGCAUAGAUAUCACGCAGAACCCCGAUUGCGAAGGCAGCAUACCGGUGCACAACUGACGCUCAGGCACGAAAGCGUGGGUAUCGAACAGGAUUAGAUACCCGUGUAGUC